CCAAGCUAAUAAGAGCCAACGGUGGAUGCCUUGGCGCCUACUACCGAUGAAAGACGUGUCUGGCUGCGAUAAGCCACGGGGAGCUGCCUAGAGAGCUUCGAUCCGUGGAUGUCUGAAUGGGGAAACCCAACACCCGUCAUGGGGUGUUACUCCGGUGUGAACACAUAGCACCGGUAGAGGGAACCGGGUGAACUGAAACAUCUCAGUAACCCGAGGAAAAGAAAGCAAAUGCGACUCCCUGAGUAGCGGCGAGCGAAAUGGGAUCAGCCUAAACCGACCUGGUGUCAAGCCUGAUGGCGUUGCCAGUUCGGGGUCGUGGGAACACAUGGACAGAGCAUCAGAUCUGUCACGGAGUUACCAAUCUGUCGUGUAACGGAAGCGUUCUGGAAAGGCGCGCCACAGAAGGUAAUGGCCCUGUACGUGAAACAUGAACAGACUCCGAUGUUGUCUCCCAAGUAGCGCCGGAUCCGGGAAAGCCGGCGUGAAUCUGCGAGGACCACCUCGUAAGGCUAAGUAUACGUAGGCGACCGAUAGUGAACUAGUACCGUGAGGGAAAGGUGAAAAGUACCCCGGGAGGGGAGUGAAAUAGUACCUGAAACCGUUGGUUUACAAUCAGUCAGAGUGUCGCCACUGGACUUCGGUCCUUUGGUCACGAUGGCGUGCCUUUUGAAGAAUGAGUCAGCGAGUUACGGUGUGUGGCAAGGUUAACCAGUGAUGGGAAGCCGGAGCGAAAGCGAGUCUGAACAGGGCGUUCAGUCGCAUACUGUAGACCCGAAGCCGUGUGAUCUAUCCAUGGGCAGGGUGAAGCGGAGGUAAGACUCCGUGGAGGCCCGAACCCACUUAGGUUGAAAACUGAGGGGAUGACCUGUGGAUAGGGGUGAAAGGCCAAUCAAACACGGUGAUAGCUGGUUCUCCCCGAAAUGCAUUUAGGUGCAGCGUCAGAUGUUCAGCAAUGGAGGUAGAGCACUGGAUGGGCUAGGGGCCCUACAAGGUUACUGACCCCAACCAAACUCCGAAUGCCAUUGCUCCAGAAUCUGGCAGUGAGACCAUGGGGGAUGAGCUUCAUGGUCGAGAGGGAAACAGCCCAGACCGCCGGCUAAGGCCCCAAAUUCCAUGCUAAGUGGUAAACGAUGUGGGAUUGCACAGACAGCCAGGAUGUUGGCUUAGAAGCAGCCAUCAUUGAAAGAGUGCGUAAUAGCUCACUGGUCGAGUGAUCCUGCGCGGACAAUGUAACGGGGCUCAAGCAUGGAGCCGAAGCCGCGGAUUCGUACCUAGUACGAGUGGUAGGGGAGCGUCGAUCUCGGAGCGAAGCGUCGGUGUGAACCGGCGUGGACCGUGGUCGAGUGAGAAUGCUGAUAUGAGUAGCGAAAGAGGGGUGUGAAACCCCUCCGCCGAAUGUCCAAGGGUUCCUGGGGAAGGCUAAUCCUCCCAGGGUAAGUCGGGAGCUAAGGCGAGGCCGAAAGGCGUAGUCGAUGCACAACCGGUUGAUAUUCCGGUACCACUGUGAACGCGCCCAAGCCAAGCAGCAGUCGCUAGGGGCUGUCUACCUUCGGGUAGACGAACCGAACCGAUAGCUGGGCGGCUAGCAAUGAGGGGACGCAGGAAGGUAGGUGAACCCAGGCGAUGGUUGUCCUGGGGUAAGCGUGUAGGGAGAGGUCCAGGUAAAUCCGGCCCUCAUCAUCCUGAGACGUGAAACCGAGCCGCUUCAGGCGAAGUCACUGAUCCUAUGCUGCCAAGAAAAGCCUCUAGCGAGCUUUCACGGUGCCCGUACCCCAAACCAACUCAGGUGGACAGGUAGAGAAUACCAAGGCGAUCGGGUGAACUAUGGUUAAGGAACUCGGCAAAAUACCUCCGUAACUUCGGGAGAAGGAGGGCCCCAACAGGUGAUGGACUUCGCGUCCUGAGCUCGAGGGGGCCGCAGAGACCAGGGGAUAGCGACUGUUUACUAAAAACACAGCAGCGUGCUAAGCCGUAAGGCGCUGUAUACGCUGUGACGCCUGCCCGGUGCCGGAAGGUUACGGGGAAGGGUUAGUCCUUCGGGACGAAGCUCUGAACCUAAGCCCCGGUAAACGGCGGCCGUAACUAUAACGGUCCUAAGGUAGCGAAAUUCCUUGUCGGGUAAGUUCCGACC
Molecule: ribosomal RNA, 2131 nt
Filed under: wastewater metagenome
Description: bacterial LSU rRNA
Rfam family: Bacterial large subunit ribosomal RNA
Source: RNAcentral